GUGCUCGCUUUGGAAGCACAUGUACUAAAAUUGGAAUGAUAAAAAGAAGAUUAGCAUGGCCCCUGCUCAAGGAUGACAAGCAAAUUCGUGAAGUGUUCCAUAGUUUU
Molecule: small nuclear RNA, 107 nt
Organism: Tachyglossus aculeatus (Australian echidna)
Lineage: Eukaryota; Metazoa; Chordata; Mammalia; Monotremata; Tachyglossidae
Source: RefSeq, a predicted model, not a curated record